RNAcentral lists this ribosomal RNA (432 nucleotides) under uncultured bacterium. RNAcentral's name for it is "partial 16S ribosomal RNA". It matches the Rfam family "Bacterial small subunit ribosomal RNA", at positions 29 to 507 of the family's 1533-position model. The record is from RNAcentral.
ACGCACGCUGGCGGCAUGCCUCACCCCUGCAAGUCGAACGAGACCUUCGGGUCUAGUGGCGCACGGGUGCGUAACGCGUGGGAACCUGCCCUUAGGUUCGGAAUAACUCCCCGAAAGGGGUGCUAAUACCGGAUAAUGUCUUCGGACCAAAGAUUUAUCGCCUUUGGAUGGGCCCGCGUCGGAUUAGCUAGUUGGUAGGGUAAAAGCCUACCAAGGCGACGAUCCAUAGCUGGUCUGAGAGGAUGAUCAGCCACACUGGGACUGAGACACGGCCCAGACUCCUACGGGAGGCAGCAGUGGGGAAUAUUGGACAAUGGGCGAAAGCCUGAUCCAGCAAUGCCGCGUGAGUGAUGAAGGCCUUAGGGUUGUAAAGCUCUUUUACCCGGGAUGAUAAUGACAGUACCGGGAGAAUAAGCUCCGGCUAACUCCGUG